RNAcentral lists this ribosomal RNA (444 nucleotides) under uncultured bacterium. RNAcentral's name for it is "partial 16S ribosomal RNA". It matches the Rfam family "Bacterial small subunit ribosomal RNA", at positions 338 to 795 of the family's 1533-position model. The record is from RNAcentral.
CCUACGGGAGGCAGCAGUGGGGAAUAUUGCACAAUGGGGGGAACCCUGAUGCAGCAACGCCGCGUGAAGGAAGAAGGCUUUCGGGUUGUAAACUUCUAUCAAUAGGGACGAAAAGAAUGACGGUACCUAAAUAAGAAGCCCCGGCUAACUACGUGCCAGCAGCCGCGGUAAUACGUAGGGGGCAAGCGUUAUCCGGAAUUACUGGGUGUAAAGGGAGCGUAGGCGGCAUGGUAAGCCAGAUGUGAAAGCCCGCGGCUUAACCGCGCGGAUUGCAUUUGGAACUAUCAAGCUAGAGUACAGGAGAGGAAAGCGGAAUUCCUAGUGUAGCGGUGAAAUGCGUAGAUAUUAGGAAGAACACCAGUGGCGAAGGCGGCUUUCUGGACUGAAACUGACGCUGAGGCUCGAAAGCGUGGGGAGCAAACAGGAUUAGAUACCCCAGUAGUC